RNAcentral lists this non-coding RNA (1236 nucleotides) under Globodera pallida. RNAcentral's name for it is "bacterial LSU rRNA". It matches the Rfam family "Bacterial large subunit ribosomal RNA", at positions 808 to 2154 of the family's 2925-position model. Lineage: Eukaryota; Metazoa; Nematoda; Chromadorea; Rhabditida; Heteroderidae. The record is from RNAcentral.
CUUGUGGCUAGGGGUGAAAGGCCAAUCAAACUCGGAGAUAGCUGGUUCUCCGCGAAAUCUAUUUAGGUAGAGCGUCGACCGAAUACCCUCGGGGGUAGAGCACUGGAUGGGCUAUGGGGACUCACCGUCUUACUGAUCCUAACCAAACUCCGAAUACCGAGGAGUACUAGUCGGCAGACACACGGCGGGUGCUAACGUCCGUCGUGAAGAGGGCAACAACCCUGACCUCCAGCUAAGGUCCCCAAGUCAUGGCUAAGUGGGAAAGGAUGUGAGGAUCCCAAAAACAACCAGGAUGUUGGCUUAGAAGCAGCCAUCAUUUAAAGAAAGCGUAACAGCUCACUGGUCUAAUUAAGGGUCUUUGCGCCGAAAAUGUAACGGGGCUAAAGCCAUGCACCGAAGCUGAGGAUACGUCGCAAGACGUGUGGUAGCGGAGCGUUCCGUAAGCCUGUGAAGGGAUACCUGUGAGGGGUCCUGGAGGUAUCGGAAGUGCGAAUGUUGACAUGAGUAACGAUAAAGAGGGUGAGAGACCCUCUCGCCGAAAGACCAAGGGUUCCUGCUUAAAGUUAAUCUGAGCAGGGUUAGCCGGCCCCUAAGACGAGGCGGACACGCGUAGUCGAUGGGAACCACGUUAAUAUUCGUGGGCCUGGUGGUAGUGACGGAUUGCUUAACUUGUACGCUCUUAUUGGAUUGGGUGUGCAGGGACGCGGUUCCAGGAAAUAGCUCCACCGUAUAGACCGUACCCGAAACCGACACAGGUGGUCAGGUAGAGUAUACCAAGGCGCUUGAGAGAACUAUGUUGAAGGAACUCGGCAAAUUGCACGCGUAACUUCGGAAGAAGCGUGACCCCAUUAUACGCAAGUAUGAUGGGGUGGCACAGACCAGGGGGUAGCGACUGUUUAUCAAAAACACAGGGCUCUGCGAAGUCGCAAGACGACGUAUAGGGUCUGACGCCUGCCCGGUGCUGGAAGGUUAAGAGGAGAGGUGCAAGCUUUGAAGAAGCCCCAGUAAACGGCGGCCGUAACUAUAACGGUCCUAAGGUAGCGAAAUUCCUUGUCGGGUAAGUUCCGACCUGCACGAAUGGUGUAACGACUUCCCCGCUGUCUCCAACAUAGACUCAGUGAAAUUGAAUUCCCCGUGAAGAUGCGGGGUUCCUGCGGUUAGACGGAAAGACCCCGUGCACCUUUACUAUAGCUUUACACUGGCAUUCGUGUCGGCAUGUGUAGGAUAGGUGGUAGG